UACGGGGGGAGCAAGCGUUGUUCGGAUUUACUGGGCGUAAAGGGCGCGUAGGCGGUCAGCACAAGUCAGUUGUGAAAUCUCCGGGCUUAACUCGGAAAGGUCAACUGAUACUGUGCGACUAGAGUGCGGAAGGGGCAACUGGAAUUCCUGGUGUAGCGGUGAAAUGCGCAGAUAUCAGGAAGAACACCCGUGGCGAAGGCGGCUCUCUGGGACGGUACUGACGCUGAGACGCGAAAGCGUGGGGAGCGAACAGG
Molecule: ribosomal RNA, 254 nt
Filed under: uncultured bacterium
Lineage: Bacteria
Description: partial 16S ribosomal RNA
Rfam family: Bacterial small subunit ribosomal RNA
Source: RNAcentral